UGACCUUUUUUUCUGGGGCAUUGUGUCAAUUUUGAGUGGAGUUUCCAAUUGCACAAUAGCAUCUGGACAGUUUUGACAUCUUUAUUACACUCUGCCCAUCUUGAAAAUGGAAAAAAAAUUAAGUCAUGGUAUCCGGCUUCAAGAAGCAUGCACCACUUUUGAAUUGUCUCUUGACAAGUAACAUGUGCAUAUUACAAACCCAAAGGCAUGUCUGAAGUGAUUCUUCUGGAGACUUACAUUCCUCAAAGCUCUCUCUCUCCUCAAAGCAUCACCACUUUGUUUCAGAGAAGAAAAUGUGUAAAUGUGUAAUGGAAAUGUGUAAAUGAUUAAAGCAUCUGUAUAAACAAAGAA
This is a long non-coding RNA of Neofelis nebulosa (Clouded leopard), 351 nucleotides long. RefSeq lists it as uncharacterized. Lineage: Eukaryota; Metazoa; Chordata; Mammalia; Carnivora; Felidae. The transcript has 3 exons. The record is from RefSeq and is a predicted model, not a curated record.